Molecule: ribosomal RNA, 432 nt
Filed under: uncultured bacterium
Lineage: Bacteria
Description: partial 16S ribosomal RNA
Rfam family: Bacterial small subunit ribosomal RNA
Source: RNAcentral
GAUGAACGCUGGCGGUAUGCUUAACACAUGCAAGUCGAACGGUACCUUCGGGUAUAGUGGCGGACGGGUGAGUAACGCGUGAGAAUCUAUCUUCAGGUCGGGGUCAACAGUUAGAAAUGACUGCUAAUACCGGAUGUGCCGAAAGGUAAAAGAUUUAUUGCCUGAAAAAGAGCUCGCGUCAGAUUAGCUAGUAGGUGGUGUAAGAGACUACCUAGGCUUCGAUCUGUAGCUGGUCUGAGAGGACGAUCAGCCACACUGGAACUGAGACACGGUCCAGACUCCUACGGGAGGCAGCAGUGGGGAAUUUUCCGCAAUGGGCGAAAGCCUGACGGAGCAAUACCGCGUGAGGGACGAAGGCUCUUGGGUCGUAAACCUCUUUUCUCAAGGAAGAUUCAGACGGUACUUGAGGAAUAAGCAUCGGCUAACUCUGUG